AUUGAACGCUGGCGGAACGCUUUACACAUGCAAGUCGAACGGUAACGCGGAGAGAAGCUUGCUUCUCUCCGGCGACGAGUGGCGAACGGGUGAGUAAUACAUCGGAACGUGUCCGCUCGUGGGGGACAACCAGCCGAAAGGUUGGCUAAUACCGCAUGAGUUUUACGGAAGAAAGAGGGGGACCCGCAAGGGCCUCUCGCGAGCGGAGCGGCCGAUGACUGAUUAGCCGGUUGGUGAGGUAACGGCUCACCAAAGCAACGAUCAGUAGCUGGUCUGAGAGGACGACCAGCCACACUGGGACUGAGACACGGCCCAGACUCCUACGGGAGGCAGCAGUGGGGAAUUUUGGACAAUGGGCGCAAGCCUGAUCCAGCUAUUCCGCGUGUGGGAUGAAGGCCCUCGGGUUGUAAACCACUUUUGUAGAGAACGAAAAGACACCUUUUAAAAAAGGGUGUUGCUGACG
Molecule: ribosomal RNA, 463 nt
Filed under: uncultured bacterium
Lineage: Bacteria
Description: bacterial SSU rRNA
Rfam family: Bacterial small subunit ribosomal RNA
Source: RNAcentral